AAAAUGACUCUCGGCAACGGAUAUCCCGGCUCUCGCAUCGAUGAAGAACGUAGCGAAAUGCGAUACUUGGUGUGAAUUGCAGAAUCCCGUGAACCAUCGAGUCUUUGAACGCAAGUUGCGCCCGAAGCCNUUAGGCUUAGGGCACGUCUGCCUGGGUGUCACGC
Molecule: ribosomal RNA, 164 nt
Filed under: Daucus melananthus
Lineage: Eukaryota; Viridiplantae; Streptophyta; Magnoliopsida; Apiales; Apiaceae
Description: Daucus melananthos 5.8S ribosomal RNA
Rfam family: 5.8S ribosomal RNA
About the family: 5.8S ribosomal RNA (5.8S rRNA) is a component of the large subunit of the eukaryotic ribosome.
Source: RNAcentral